CUUACAGACAGGAACUCUCAAGCAAUACAACGAAUCAGAAUUAAGAAUUUUAUAUAUGCAAAAUUUAGUUUUACAUGAUCUCAUGUGAAGCCACCACGUUUCAUUUACCCUCCGUGUAACCUUACCGACUUUGCCCAGUUUAAGAUAUGGCAUCUGAGUGCUGUCUCAGUCUCACCAAAUACUUCCUCUUUCUCUUCAACUUGACAUUCUUUUUUUUAGGAUCACUCCUCUUAUCUAUGGGACUAUGGAUACUACUUUCAGAGAACGCAAAUCUCAUACCCCCUCCUCCCUACCUUUCCGUCGCUCUCUUUUCCUACCUGCUGAUCGUCAGUGGCUCUGUGACCAUGUCAUUAGGCUUCUUAGGAUGUUUGGGUUCUCUGAAGACUGUCAAAUGCCUGCUGGCAACUUACUUUAUCCUGCUCACAGUUCUUCUUGCGGCUCAGAUAGUGGGUGCGGUUCUUUUCUACACCCAGAAGACUGAGGUAACUCAAGCGUGAGGAUCAGCAGUCCCACUCAGUUAGUGUUGGGCUUUUUAGAACGAUCCAGCACAUGACUUAAUUAAUCCUCUUUGGUGUCAAGAUUUAAAUCAGUUUGAUUGAUUUCUAUUAUUGAUAGCUAUGCCUAUAAAGCUUCAGAUGCAAUCAUGACCAAAACAUCUUGUUUUUUUCCCCACUCUUAAUCAGUUGGCUGGUUCACUAAAGGACCACACUCUUCAAAUAAUAUACUCAGUUAAAAGAAACGAUUCCAGUCUCAAGAGUUUUGAAUGUACUCUAGAUUACAUUCAGAAGGAGACCAAAUGCUGUGGUUGGGGUGGAAAAGAAGACUGGGGGGACUCUAUACCCUGUUCUUGCUACGACAAGGGAAAUGCGACAUAUGAAAUAAAAGAUCAAAAAUGUUCCACAAAUUGUACCUUUUCAAAUUACACCUACGGGAUUUAUAGUCAGGGUUGCAGUGAGAAUAUAAAAAAAUGGCUGGAUGAAAAUCUUCUCAUAAUUUUGGUGAUUAUCUUGGCCAUUUCUGUGGUGGAGAUAUGUGGUAUGAUCCUUUCGAUGUGUCAGUAUAAAGAGGGUUCUGUGGAUUACAACACAGUUCUUCACUGAGAUGACCAGGAUCAGUGAGAGGGAAAAAAAGUCAAGUAUUUGUUUUCUGUCAUUCAUAUAUAUGAUGUUUUGUUGGUGCGUUUUUUAUGAGAUUUUUUUUUCUAUACAGUAUUUGAUUGUUUUAUACAGAUAUUGUUUGUUCAAAAGGCAGUCACUUGUUGAUUUUCCUUGUUAUUUAGAUGCUAUGUGUUUUUAUUUGUUUAUGAAAAAGUACAACUAAUUUGAACCUGUUCAUAUAAUAGUUAAAGGAUAUAAACUUUUAUUUAUUAAUUCUCAAAAUAUGUGCAUGUGACUAAGAAUGUUUUCAUUUGUUCAGUUUAGCCACUGGGUGAGAAAAACGUUAGGGUGGGGCAGUAUAAUAUUUCACCAUUGUUGUGCACACAAAGCAAAUAACCUCAAUAUUGAGGCAAUGUGUGCAAUACUGUUCUCAUAACAUGUAUUUUAGAUGUAAAAUAUUCAAACUCAAAUUGUCCUUAAAUAUAUUUUGUUUUUUAUGUAAGGUGACAACAAGUGGUACAACAUGUGGCUUUUAAAAAUAUUUGAAUUUAAAGUAAAUUGUGUAAAUACACUUUUAAAAAAAAAGGAUAAUUGUAAUAAAAUUGCUGUUUCUAAAUGGAAAUAAAACAAAAAAUAACAUAAUAAAGUUGUUUUUUUGUUUGUUUGUUUUUUUGUCAAAACAAAUGUAUUUAUGUGUUUAUUUAAACUGAGGAUCUAAAUGAUAAUGGUAAUACCCCAUAGCAAGUUAUUGUUAGGGCAGGGAGGAGGACAGUACACUUGUUAUCAGGUAUCCUAUAUAUACAUGCUGUGUUCAUCUCCCUCAUAAAUUCCAGAGCAACACUACAGACCAAGAAGUUUGAUAAAGAAACGAUAAAGAUGGGAUCCCGCACAUUGGUUCUGAUCAUGUUUUUAGGUGCAAUCUGUGUUGCCCAGGCACUCAGGUGCAACCGCUGCCAGAUGAUUAACAGUGACUAUCCCACCUGUAAUGAGAUAGAGGAGAGUGAAUGCAGCAGUGGUUUUGACAAGUGCAUUAAACUCAAAAUGCAUCAUCCAGCCUAUGGUGAGCUGCGCAGAUGUGCCAAAACUAUUGAGUGUGAUGCUCAGGUGCCUCCUCAGGUGGAGAAAGUGUGCUGCAACACAGAUCUCUGCAACUGAUCUGCUCCAUCAGCCAAAUAUAUUUCACAAUGGUCUAUUUUAUCUCAUGCUACAUAAAAUGUUCAAAACAAACUGCUAUCAUUGACUUUAAUUUAAUAUAUGUAAAUGUAGAGAAUAAUAUAAAGAAAUAAAAUCUGGCCAGCAAAGCAAAA
This is an RNA transcript of Cyprinus carpio (common carp), 2404 nucleotides long. It is a transcript of the gene named CD37 molecule, with no coding region annotated. The transcript has 11 exons. Lineage: Eukaryota; Metazoa; Chordata; Actinopteri; Cypriniformes; Cyprinidae. The record is from RefSeq and is a predicted model, not a curated record.